CCUACGGGAGGCAGCAGUGAGGAAUAUUGGUCAAUGGACGAGAGUCUGAACCAGCCAAGUAGCGUGAAGGAUGACUGCCCUAUGGGUUGUAAACUUCUUUUCUCAGGGACGAAGCAAGUGACGGUACCUGAGGAAUAAGCCACGGCUAACUACGUGCCAGCAGCCGCGGUAAUACGGAGGAUCCGAGCGUUAUCCGGAUUUAUUGGGUUUAAAGGGAGCGUAGGUGGAUUGUUAAGUCAGUUGUGAAAGUUUGCGGCUCAACCGUAAAAUUGCAGUUGAAACUGGCAGUCUUGAGUACAGUAGAGGUGGGCGGAAUUCGUGGUGUAGCGGUGAAAUGCUUAGAUAUCACGAAGAACUCCGAUUGCGAAGGCAGUUCACUGGACUGCAACUGACACUGAGGCUCGAAAGUGUGGGUAUCAAACAGGAUUAGAUACCCCUGUAGUC
Molecule: ribosomal RNA, 444 nt
Filed under: uncultured bacterium
Lineage: Bacteria
Description: partial 16S ribosomal RNA
Rfam family: Bacterial small subunit ribosomal RNA
Source: RNAcentral